UACGUAGGGUGCAAGCGUUGUCCGGAAUUAUUGGGCGUAAAGAGCUCGUAGGCGGUUUGUCGCGUCUGCUGUGAAAACCCGAGGCUCAACCUCGGGCCUGCAGUGGGUACGGGCAGACUAGAGUGCGGUAGGGGAGAUUGGAAUUCCGGGUGUAGCGGUGGAAUGCGUAGAGAUCCGGAGGAACACCGAUGGCGAAGGCAAUCCCCUGGGCCUGCACUGACGCUCAUGCACGAAAGCGUGGGGAGCAAACAGG
Molecule: ribosomal RNA, 253 nt
Filed under: uncultured bacterium
Lineage: Bacteria
Description: partial 16S ribosomal RNA
Rfam family: Bacterial small subunit ribosomal RNA
Source: RNAcentral